GGGUGUGAGGGUGAUCUGGCUGUGACAUCUGUCACCCCAUUGAUGGCCAGGGUGGAUUCAGCUGAUCAGGCUGGCUAGGCGGAUAUCCCCUUCUUCCCUCGUUGCUCCAUGUGUGUCCCUUCUGAAGCUGCACGCUCCGAUGACCUUCCCCAAUAGAGGAGGACCAUCCUUCACUCAAGGGCAUACAAGUAACUGCGCUCCCUCCCUCGGACCUCCAGACAAGCUCUCAAGGUCCAUUUGUUGGACACCGUAGGGUAGUCAAGCUCCCAAGACUCCAGACACAACCAAUGAGAUGUGGCGUGUGGCAGUCUGCCUUUCU
This 319-nucleotide small nuclear RNA is filed under the name Vicugna pacos (alpaca). RNAcentral's name for it is "7SK RNA (ENSVPAG00000015826.1)". It matches the Rfam family "7SK RNA". From Rfam's summary of the family: 7SK was discovered as an abundant small nuclear RNA in the mid-70s but a possible function has only recently been suggested. Two independent studies have found that 7SK RNA binds the CDK9/cyclin T complex (known as elongation factor P-TEFb). P-TEFb activates transcription by phosphorylating the C-terminal domain of RNA polymerase II. Lineage: Eukaryota; Metazoa; Chordata; Mammalia; Artiodactyla; Camelidae. The record is from Rfam by way of RNAcentral.